UACGGCCAUAUCAGGUUGAAACGCCCGUUUCCAUAUAAUCACUGAAGUUAAGCAACGUCAAGCUUUGUCAAUAACAACGUGGGUGACAGGUUGGGAAUACCAGGUGCCGCAAU
Non-coding RNA from Acanthosepion pharaonis, 113 nucleotides. The record is from the annotation of a GenBank genome assembly. Lineage: Eukaryota; Metazoa; Mollusca; Cephalopoda; Sepiida; Sepiidae.